UACGAGGGGUGCAAGCGUUAAUCGGAAUUACUGGGCGUAAAGCGUGCGUAGGUGGUUAUUUAAGCAAGAUGUGAAAGCCCCGGGCUCAACCUGGGAACUGCAUUUUGAACUGGGUAACUAGAGUUUUGUAGAGGGUAGUGGAAUUUCCAGUGUAGCGGUGAAAUGCGUAGAGAUUGGAAGGAACAUCAGUGGCGAAGGCGGCUACCUGGACAGAGACUGACACUGAGGCACGAAAGCGUGGGGAGCAAAC
Molecule: ribosomal RNA, 250 nt
Filed under: uncultured bacterium
Lineage: Bacteria
Description: partial 16S ribosomal RNA
Rfam family: Bacterial small subunit ribosomal RNA
Source: RNAcentral